RNAcentral lists this non-coding RNA (22 nucleotides) under Arabidopsis thaliana (thale cress). Lineage: Eukaryota; Viridiplantae; Streptophyta; Magnoliopsida; Brassicales; Brassicaceae. The record is from RNAcentral.
GGUGAAGUAGUGACGCCGUCCA